UUGCGCCCGAAGCCCUCGUGGCCAGGGCAUGUCUGUCUAGGCAUCACGC
RNAcentral lists this ribosomal RNA (49 nucleotides) under Pleuropterus multiflorus (tuber fleeceflower). RNAcentral's name for it is "Fallopia multiflora partial 5.8S ribosomal RNA". The record is from RNAcentral. Lineage: Eukaryota; Viridiplantae; Streptophyta; Magnoliopsida; Caryophyllales; Polygonaceae.